UCGGAAUAGUGGUUUAAUUGCUACUUGCACUAGACCAACAUGAAGAUAAUUGAACUGAUGUUUAAAUCGGUCUAUAUCUAAUUUAUUGAACAGUUGAAUAAUUUCUAAGGAAUUAUUAAUAGCAACAGUAGACUCAGAGGUCUUGAUAUUAUGUUUUUUCAAAAAACUAAAUUUUCCUAUUUGGUAAAUAGUAUUGAAAGAUUCUUCUGGAAUACUCCAGUUUUGAAGAUCAUUUUCAAUAGUAGCAAUCGGAGUUGCUUGAGAAGAUAUGUUAACAGUGUUUUUAAUAUGACUGUUCAUU
This 301-nucleotide long non-coding RNA is filed under the name Capsicum annuum. RNAcentral describes it as "long non-coding RNA (CANN_LNC015759)". The record is from RNAcentral. Lineage: Eukaryota; Viridiplantae; Streptophyta; Magnoliopsida; Solanales; Solanaceae.